Molecule: ribosomal RNA, 468 nt
Filed under: uncultured bacterium
Lineage: Bacteria
Description: partial 16S ribosomal RNA
Rfam family: Bacterial small subunit ribosomal RNA
Source: RNAcentral
GACGAACGCUGGCGGCGUGCUUAACACAUGCAAGUCGAACGGAAAGGCCCUGCUUUUGUGGGGUGCUCGAGUGGCGAACGGGUGAGUAACACGUGAGUAACCUGCCCUUGACUUUGGGAUAACUUCAGGAAACUGGGGCUAAUACCGGAUAGGAGCUCCUGCUGCAUGGUGGGGGUUGGAAAGUUUCGGCGGUUGGGGAUGGACUCGCGGCUUAUCAGCUUGUUGGUGGGGUAGUGGCUUACCAAGGCUUUAACGGGUAGCCGGCCUGAGAGGGUGACCGGCCACAUUGGGACUGAGAUACGGCCCAGACUCCUACGGGAGGCAGCAGUGGGGAAUAUUGCACAAUGGGCGGAAGCCUGAUGCAGCAACGCCGCGUGCGGGAUGACGGCCUUCGGGUUGUAACCCGCUUUCGCCUGUGACGAAGCGUGAGUGACGGUAAUGGGUAAAGAAGCACCGGCUAACUACGUG